AUGACGGACCGGGCCCCUCUGACGAUGGUCUCCCAUCGUGAUGUCGGACCGUAACA
This is a non-coding RNA of Roseovarius sp. BRH_c41, 56 nucleotides long. Lineage: Bacteria; Pseudomonadati; Pseudomonadota; Alphaproteobacteria; Rhodobacterales; Roseobacteraceae. The record is from Rfam.